RNA transcript from Dromiciops gliroides (monito del monte), 1267 nucleotides. It is a transcript of the gene named RNA binding protein, mRNA processing factor, with no coding region annotated. The transcript is spliced from 9 exons. Lineage: Eukaryota; Metazoa; Chordata; Mammalia; Microbiotheria; Microbiotheriidae. The record is from RefSeq and is a predicted model, not a curated record.
UCUCCCACUUCCCGGGGCUGGCGCACACGGGCCGGCCACAGCCGCCUCUCCCUGUCCCGGCUGCGGCAGCGGCAGCGGCAGCAGCGGCUGGGCCAGUGCCCGGAACCCCGCACGGCGUCCCUCCCAGCCUUCGGGGCCACGGCCACCGGCCCCCGCCGGCCCCCACCGGCCCUGCGGGGCGCGCACCUCCGGGACCCCGGCCCUCUUUCCCUUCCUCUCGCCCCGCAUCCUGGUCCGGGCUCCGCGGCGACCCCUCGGGGUGCGCGGGCCGGCGGACUGACGGUCGGGCGGCCGGCCAGCGAGCCAGACGGGACCAGGCGAGCGGGGACUGCCGUCGCGGGGCGAGCUCCGGGCCCCGCACCCAGACGCCCGCGCGCACGGCUGGCCGGCCGGGGCCCCCCGGGACCAUGAACAGCAGCAGCGCCAAAGGCGGCGGCGGAGGCGGUGGUGGAGGAGGCAGCAGCGACAAGGAGCCCAGCCCGAGCGACGGCGGCCUCCCGGAGGAAGAGGUCCGGACCCUCUUUGUCAGUGGUCUCCCUCUGGACAUCAAGCCUCGGGAACUUUAUCUGCUCUUCAGACCGUUUAAGGGCUACGAAGGCUCCCUAAUAAAGCUGACAUCAAAGCAGCCCGUCGGCUUUGUCAGUUUCGAUAGUCGGUCAGAAGCAGAAGCUGCUAAGAACGCGCUGAAUGGCAUUCGCUUCGAUCCUGAAAUUCCCCAGACGCUGCGACUAGAGUUUGCCAAGGCAAACACAAAGAUGGCAAAGAACAAACUCGUCGGGACCCCAAACCCCAGCACUCCUCUGCCCAGUACCGCCCCUCAGUUCAUCGCCAGGGAGCCAUAUGAGCUCACAGUGCCUGCACUUUAUCCCAGCACCCCCGAAGUGUGGGCCCCGUACCCUCUGUACCCAGCGGAGUUGGCGCCUGCUCUACCCCCUCCUGCUUUCACCUAUCCCGCUUCACUGCAUGCCCAGAUGCGCUGGCUCCCUCCCUCCGAGGCUACUUCUCAGGGCUGGAAGUCCCGUCAGUUCUGCUGAAUACUGUGUACCAGGUGUGUGAUGGCGGCUACACUUUGUCUUGUGGGUAUUGAUACAAUCUUCGGCAGUGGCUGCUGGUUUCGUGAGCUGUUUUGUAAGACUGCAGCUUACUGGCUUGAACGAAGCAUCACCUGGUUUUGAUUCCUCCAAGACUUUGCCACAGCCUCUAUCACACAUCUGUACUUAUCGAAGAAAAAGUAUAAUAAUAAAUAAAAAUGGUUUUUUCUCUUUUA